RNAcentral lists this ribosomal RNA (301 nucleotides) under uncultured bacterium. RNAcentral describes it as "partial 16S ribosomal RNA". It matches the Rfam family "Bacterial small subunit ribosomal RNA", at positions 509 to 807 of the family's 1533-position model. The record is from RNAcentral.
CAGCCGCCGCGGUAAUACGUAGGUGGCAAGCGUUGUCCGGAAUUAUUGGGCGUAAAGCGCACGUAGGCGGUUAUUCAAGUCAGAGGUGAAAGCCCGGGGCUCAACCCCGGAACUGCCUUUGAAACUAGAUGACUGGAAUCUUGGAGAGGUCAGUGGAAUUCCGAGUGUAGAGGUGAAAUUCGUAGAUAUUCGGAAGAACACCAGUGGCGAAGGCGACUGACUGGACAAGUAUUGACGCUGAGGUGCGAAAGCGUGGGGAGCAAACAGGAUUAGAUACCCCUGUAGUCCCUGUCUCUUAUAC